GCCGAGCGCGCGGAGCAGCUGGGGCCGGGGCGCGGAUGCUGGAAGUUCACAUCCCGUCGGUGGGGCCCGAGGCCGAGGGGCCCAGGCAGAGCCCGGAGAAAAGCCACAUGGUGUUCCGAGUGGAGGUGCUGUGCAGCGGGCGCAGACACACGGUGCCGAGGCGCUACAGCGAGUUCCACGCGCUGCACAAGCGGGUGAGGCGGCGCCGACCUCCCACCGGCCCCGGCCCAGCCUCUGUCCAGUCCCCGCCCAGGCCCUGUGAGGCGGGCGGGCGAGCUCCAGCCCCAGCCUCCGCCACCCCCAUUACUGCCUCAGUCCCUGCGCAGCCGGUCAGCCCCCGGGCCUCUGUGGGUGGGUUGGGGCCUUCCUCGCCCUCGGCCGGUCCACCACUCACCAGGGUCUGUCCCAGUAGAGCCCGAAGGCGGGGGCGCGGGAGGGCUUCUGGCUCGGGCGAAGAGGGCUUGAGGGCUCAGUCGGGAUGCUGUGAUCGCACGCGGUAAACCUCCAGUAGAUCAAGAAGCUGUACAAAGUGCCCGACUUCCCCUCGAAACGCCUGCCCAACUGGAGGACCAGAGGGUUGGAACAGCGCCGGCAGGGCUUGGAGGCUUACAUCCAGGGCAUCCUGUACCUGAACCAGGAGGUGCCCAAGGAGUUACUGGAAUUCCUGAGACUUCGGCACUUCCCCACAGACCCCAAGGCUAGCAACUGGGGCACCGUGAGGGAGUUCCUGCCUGGCGACAGCAGCUCCCAGCAGCACCAGCGGCCUGUCCUGAGCUUCCAUGUGGAUCCCUAUGUUUGCAACCCCUCCCCAGAGUCGCUGCCCAACGUGGUGGUGAAUGGUGUGCUCCAGGGCCUCUACAGCUUCAGCAUCAGCCCAGAUAAAGCCCAGCCAAAGGCGGCCUGUCACCCUGCUCCUCUGCCACCGAUGCCCUGAUCAGUCCAGAGGCCUUUGGCUGCCUCCUAAGAAAGUCAUGUGCCUCUGUCCUAUGAACUCCAUAUAAGGCUGGGUCCUCCUUUGGCCUGGAACCAGGACUUAAUUACCCAGUGCCCAGUUGUGCCACAUUCCCACUCAAGGCUCAGAACUUGGCUCGCAUUGGUAGCUGGAGGUGGUAGAAUCUGCAUGCUCUUAGAGCCCAACAGCCAAGGCAGGGUCAAGAAGAUAAGUAAUAAAAGAGGAAGUCAGCCAGG
Molecule: small RNA, 1188 nt
Filed under: Pan troglodytes (chimpanzee)
Lineage: Eukaryota; Metazoa; Chordata; Mammalia; Primates; Hominidae
Description: retained intron
Source: RNAcentral